This 253-nucleotide ribosomal RNA is filed under the name uncultured bacterium. RNAcentral describes it as "partial 16S ribosomal RNA". It matches the Rfam family "Bacterial small subunit ribosomal RNA", at positions 524 to 776 of the family's 1533-position model. The record is from RNAcentral.
UACAGAGGUGGCAAGCGUUGUUCGGAAUUACUGGGCGUAAAGGGCGCGUAGGCGGCCUUCUAAGUCAGACGUGAAAUCCCCCGGCUUAACCUGGGAACUGCGUCUGAUACUGGGAGGCUAGAGUGCGGGAGAGGGGUGCGGAAUUCCAGGUGUAGCGGUGAAAUGCGUAGAUAUCUGGAGGAACACCGGUGGCGAAGGCGGCAUCCUGGACCGACACUGACGCUGAGGCGCGAAAGCUAGGGUAGCAAACGGG